Molecule: long non-coding RNA, 8288 nt
Filed under: Musa acuminata (dwarf banana)
Lineage: Eukaryota; Viridiplantae; Streptophyta; Magnoliopsida; Zingiberales; Musaceae
Description: long non-coding RNA (MACU_LNC000635)
Source: RNAcentral
CCCGUGCUCUAUACUUCGCUUAUCUCCCUCCCUCCGCGUGCCCGCACAUGGCGUCCUUGUGCUCCUCUCUCUCUCUCUCUCUCUAUAAACUCCUCUCCUCUCCGUCGUUAAUCCAUACCUCUCUUCUCUUCUCCUCGACCACAUCGCUCUCCAAUAAUGCUCCCCCUAAUGGACAGGCGACGGCUACCGGUGGCGCGACGUCAGAGCGAAGCCUCCGCCGGUCGUAAUGGAGCGUUGCGCAACGCAGGACGUCGCGUGAUCCGUGGAGGGAGGGAGAGGCAUGCCGUUAGCGUGUCGGUGAGGAGGAAGGUGAGAGAGCUGCAGAGGCUGGUGCCGGGCGGGAGACAGUUGCCGGCGGCGCAGCUUUUCCUGCACACCGCCGACUAUAUCUUCCACUUGAGCUUGAAAGUGCAAGUCCUGAGGGCUCUUUCCAAAUUCUACAUGCCGUGAUAUGAGAUAUAUAUAUAUACACACGCAACUAGCCAUUACAUGUAUGCCUUUAUUUCAAGUAUAUGUACUUCUCUUUGUGAUCGGUAACUCUGUUCUUGAAUAAAUUUAAUAUGAUAUUAAUAUUUUAUUGAUGUUAAUUUCUGAAAGUUCUUACAUGUGUAGAAUAUGAGGCUUAAUUUGUUGAUAUGUUAUAACUCUACUCUCUUGAGGUUGUCAAGGACUGAUCUGGUCUAUUUUUUCGUUCUAAUUCAUGCAUUAAAUCCUAAGUUUCUGAGAUGAUGCGAGUGAUAUAUGUAGGUAAUCUCUUGUAGAGAUGUUGCUUUUGGAUCCAUGUAGAUAUAGAAUUUGGAGGAUUAAUGUGAUAUUUUAUUGUUGUUUAGUUUAUGCAUCAGAAUCCAAAGCCUGUUGUUUUAAUGUCACUUAAGAGUGGAUAUCUUAGUGAGUAUUUAUUUGUGCACAAAUAAAUCUUGAGAUGUCAAGAAAGAGUACUAUUCCUUCAAGUUUUCUUCUUCUUUUUUUCUUCUUAAAAUUCUGCCAUAAGCCACUAUUUCUUUUUCAAUUUUAUUGAUUCCUUCUUUCAAAAAUUUUGAAUUUUGGGAAGAGAGUCUGAAAAUCCAACUGGCAUUUCUUCUUUUGAACAACAAUAAUUACCUUUUAUAAUUUUAUUGUUUUUUUUUUCUUCUUAUUGAUCAUUUUGAAUCAGGAAAAGUAAGUCAAGAUCAAUAAAAUCAUCAAUAUAUGUACUGCAAUAUCUUCUAAUAUAUUCACUAUUCUUUUAGCUUUUGCUAUAGUUUUCAAUUCGCAUAUAAAUGUUCAGCAAUAAAACACUUUGUAUUUAGAGGCAAAGUCCUCUUUAUUUUAUUUUAUUUUAAUUUUAUUUUAACCAUUUGUAAGACUUCAGAUUGAAAACUAUAAGCUGUUGUUACAAGGAUGACCAAAGAAUAUACAAAAUCCAUAUUUUUAUCUUCCAUGUUCUUACUAGUUAAUUGGUGGUUGUAAAUAGAAUUUAGGCCUUGACAUGAUGGAAUGACAUUAAUUAUAUCUUGAUGAGUAUAUUAAUAAAUUCAUGUUAUUUAAAAUUUGCAUGAUCUUUGUUUUCUGGUAAAUAUAUACAAAAGAAAAAACAAAGACAUGUCCUAUUAGAUGCUUUUAGUAGAAUAGUUCAUUUAACAUAAUAGUUAUGAUCACUUGUUUUAAAAGAUUUGAAGAAACUAGGAAUAAAUGCAGGAAUUUGUAUAGGUAAUCUUAUCAUCAGCCUACUUUGAUUAAAAGAAUUAAUCAAAGUUAAUGAGAAUGGUUCUCCAAGGUUAUGUACCUAAUAUUAAGAAUUAAGAAAGGACAUAUAAUUAAUUAAUAGUAGAAAAGGGAGAUAAUGGAGAAAGCUUAUAAGACAAGCUACAAAUGCAACCAGAUGGAACUAAGUUAUAUAUAAAUGUAAUAAAAAGUUUUUGCUAAAAUAAUAUAAAAAAAUUACAAAAUAUGUUUCACAAAACUUUAUUUGUCAGCAAAUUGAAAUGAGCAUAAGAAGUCACCUAGAAAAUUAGAGUUGUUGCCUAUACUUAACACAAAUGGAAUAAUAUAUCUAUGAAUUUUAAGAUAAGAUUACCAAAGACUAUUAGCCAAAAUGAUAUUGUUUUGUGUGAUUAUGGAUGAUCUAACAACUAAGGCAACACAUUUUCUCACUAUUUAGGUUAAUAGCCUUUUAAAAAAUUGACAAAAUUAUAUGUUGAUUAUAUUUUUAUAUCAUGAGAAUCUUAGCUACCUUAGUUGGUAAAAAACUAUUGAUAGUAGUUCUUUAGAUCAAAUCUCGUCUUAAUCACUUGGUUUUUUUAUUAAAAACAAAAGGUUGCUAGAUUUUGCGGUAUUAUGUCACAGAGAUUCGGAUUUGUUCAAAUCUUAUUUUAUUGAUUUUAAAGGUUUUUGGAUUGAAAUUUUAUUCUCAGUGGUAUUUACUUAUACUAAUAACUAUAAUAAUAACUAUGAAGCAAGUAUUAAAAACAUAGACCUCAUUUGUAGCUUAACAUAAGAGGAAAUGUAGACCGCUAAUAUGUUGGAACGAUAUUAGUGAAAGAAAAUAUUUAAAAUUUGAUAUAAUUAUAAAAUUAUUGAAAGAUCAAGUUGAUUAAAGAACAGUUUUUUGUAAUUCAAUACAAAUAAUAGACUUAUGUUGGUAUAGUAAACAUGAUUUCAAAUUUGAUGUUGGAGAAUAUGUUUUCUUAAGUUAUUCCAAACCAAGGUGUCAUGUGAUUACAUAUAUUAGAUGAUGAUUUGAGAUUUUGGAAUUGAUUAAAAAUAUAGUUUAAUGUAGUUGUUUUACCAUUUUCUUUGACUAGAGUUCAUAAUAUUUAAUUUUUUAUUUAAAUAAAUUUUAAAUAGGAUUUUAAUCGUGUAAUCUAACGAACAUUACUACCGUUAGAGAAGGAUUUGUCAAGUGAGGAAUUACAUUUAUUUUGUCGAUAGAACAUCAUAUUCAACCAAUAUGUAAACCAAUCCUCCAACACAUCAGUCAAUCGUAUAGCACAUUGAUCAAUCUUCUUCCAAUAUGUCAAUUAAUCUUUCGGCUCAAUGUUUAUACUCUUGAUCAACAUAGGGCUUUUAAAUUUGAUGUUUGAUCCUUUGAUUUGACAUUUGAUUCUUUAGCUUGACAAUCGAUCAUUUCACCUUUACUUGAAGAAUCUUUGAUAUCACUUGUCUAAGAAACAAAACUAAAAUAAGGUUAGUUUAUCAAAUUCAUCAAUUAAUUUUAUCAAUAAGAUUGACUUAAAAUGAUAUAACAUAUUCUUAAUAAUGCAACAUCUUAAAUUAAAUCGACAAAGUAACUUAAAAAUGUACGUGGAUUGAUAAUUAGUACAAGUAAUUAUGUUAAGGACAUAAUUAUUGUAGUGAGAAAUUAUAUAAAUAAAAUUUGAAUCCUUUACGUUUUUACCUAGUAUUAUCGGAAAGAACUGAUUGAACAUCAAAAUAAUUAGCAACACAAGUUAAACCAAAAUUUGAAUAUCUCCUCCAUGUUGGUAGUAAUAGCUUCUCACCUUUUGUGGAAACAAAAUGGCUACUUUUAAUAAACUAAGUACAAAAAAAAAAAAAGUCAAUUUGGACAAGGAGAAAGCAAUCUUGAAUUGAUGUAUUUGUGAUCUGAUAUAUGUUUUGAAUGACGCAUGAAGCUUCGAUUAGGAAGAGACAAUUAAAGUAGGAAGAAUCAUGUUGGGCCGAAAUGGAACAUGUCAGAAGAUUGGACGUUAAGCCAAAGGAUCAGUCGACCUAUCAGCAGAAGGCUUCGGGCCAUAAGUUCAGGCAUCGAGCCAAAAAGAGCGAAAAUUACGCCAAGAAAAUCGAAGUUGCGAAAGUCAACUAGCCGAUUGGGCAAUAGGCCGCAAGAGAGGACGAUGGAUUGAAGAAUCGAAUGAAGCGUCGAUGAACCAAUGACAUAUCGAACAAUAUUUGAUUCAAGCUUUGUAAUAAUUAUCUAGAUUGAAGUAGGUUUUAGGCGUAAUUGGGUUAGAAUUAGGCCAACUCAAUUAGUGGCCAAUUAGGCCAAGUCUAGGAGGUUGUGUUGAGCUAAGUGAGUUGGAUGGAACCAUCGGUGGCAUAGUCUCCGAGAUUGUGUCAGGUAGUGGUAGCGCCAAUCUAGGCGGUGAUACCACCAGACUCGGUCUCCGAGACUGUCAAGCGGUGGUACCACCAGUUUGGGCGAUGGUACCACUAGUUUGGGCAGUGGUAUUGCUAGUAUGGGUGGCGGUACCGCCCAGCACAAGCGAUGAUACUACUAUACCUCGAAAAUCGGGGAUGAGAUACUUUUAGGCUCCAAGUUUGCAUCCACUUGAGGCCUAUAAAUAUCCUUCUUAUCCCUAGUUAAUAUACACAAAAAUUGAGAGCAAAAAAAGGAAGAAAACGCUAUUGUAAUCUUGUGAGAACUCCUCUCAAACUCUAAGUAUUAAUAAAGUUUAAGAGAGGAGAUAGUGGGGGUGUAAAGGUUCUCUCUUGAGCUUGUCAAAAGGAGAAUAGAGUUAUAAGAAGGUGGUUAGUCUUCGCCUAUUAAAGGAAGACCGCUAGUGGAUGCUAGUGGCCUCGACGGAAAAGGAAUUGAGAGUGGAUGUAGGUCACAACGACCGAACCACUAUAAUUUCGGUGUGUUCUUUCCUUAUUGUUUAUUCUAUUUACUGCAUUGCAAACUAUCCAAUCCCCUCUUCUCUAUUCACUUGCAAACUUAUACGAGUCAAACAAACGGUUUUCGUCAUAAUCAGUUUUUAUCAUACGAAGAUUGUAAGUAAUAAUCCCAACAAAAUAUAGUUAAAAUUUAAGAGAGGAUGUAGUAGGGGAUAUAAAGGUUCUUUCCUAAGCCUGUUAAAAAGAGAAUAGAGUUGUAAGAAGGUGGUUGGUCUUCACCUAUUAAAGGAAGACUGCUAGUGGAUGCUGGUGGCCUUGACGGAAGAGGAAUCGAGAGUGGAUAUAGGUCAUAACGACCGAACCACUAUAAAUUCUGGUGUGUUCUUUCCUUACUGCUUAUUCUAUUUACUACAUUGCAAACUAUCCAAUCCCUUCUUCUUUAUUCACUUGCAAACUUAUACGAGUCAAACAAAUAGUUUUCGUCGUAAUCAGUUUUUAUCGUACGAAGAUUGGAAGUAAUAAUCCCAACAAAAUAUAGUUAAAGUUUAAGAGAGGAGGUAGUAGGGGGUGUAAAGGUUCUCUCCUAAGCCUGUUAAAAGAAGAAUAGACUUGUAAGAAAGUGAUUGGUCUUCACCUAUUAAAGGAAGACCGCUAGUGAAUGCCGAUGGCCUUGACGAAAGAAGAAUCGGGAGUGGAUGUAGGUCACAACACCGAAUCACUAUAAAUUCUGGUGUGUUCUUUCCUUACUACUUAUUAUGUUUACUAUAUUACAAACUAUCCAAUCCCUCUUCUCUAUUCACUUGCAAACUUAUACGAGUCAAACAAAUGAUUUUUGUUGUAAUUAGUUUUUAUCGUACGAAGAUUUUCAAAACCGACGUUUUUAUCCGCUGCACUACUUCACACACACCCCCGCCUCCCACUCUUAGUGCCGACUUGAUCCUAAUAGAAUGAUUUCGGGAUCAGUUUUGUUUAGUGUUGGAAUAACUACGUGAGAUCCGGAUUCUAAUUGUAAUAAAAUGCUAUACAAAUUAGAAGCAAUGGCAUAGAAAAGUUGUGCUGAUGGUAAGUAAUAAUCCCAACAAAAUAUAGUUAAAGUACCCCUAAUUAAUUCAUAAGCUCUUUUGGAUAUUUGAAUUGUGAUAGAAUAUUAUAUUAUUAGAUUAUAAAUGAAUAUCAUCUAAUAGUGAUUGUUCUAUCAAUAUGUGAUAAGACUGGUAUCUCAACCAAUGACACAUCAAUAUCUAAAAUCUAAGGAUAGAUUAUGGUCAAGUAAUUUUUAUUGAAUCCUAUUAAUCCAACAUUGAUACUUGAAGAUGAAUUAUCUUGAAUUAAAAAAUUGAGAUCCUGACCAUUCAUGUUGAAAUAUUGAUGGGACUAUGAAUGGUUAACCAAGAGCAUAUGUAUGAGUUGAGAUCAAAUUUAAAUUACAUUUUUCUUGUUGUUUUACAUAUUUAUUAAUCCACUGUGUUCCAUUGAUAUGAUUAUAAAUUGAUUUGGUAAACCAUUUUAAGUUGGAUUGGGCUACUUGUGAAAGGGCUAUAAGUGAUAAUAUAUGAGAUUUUCUCAUCUAUAUAAUAAAUGAUAUUUUUUCAAUUGUACGAAGAAAUCUCGCUGCUCAAUUGAGGAAAUCUUCUCCUUUAAUAUGUAUAAAUAGACAUCGUAUCAAAACUAAUGGAAGAGAAUAUUUUUUUGCCUUUACAACUUCAUUCUGUGUUCUAUUAAUAAGCACAUAGUGUGCAACUGCUAUUAUACUAUGUCUCACAUGUCUUAUAUUAUGCAUGAAUUCAUACUCUUGAUAAUCAUAUGACAAAUUAACUCUUUCUACAUAAUUAGUAUCUUAUCGUCUAUAUAUAUUUUUUAAAUACAUGCACCGUGUGAUAUAUAAUGACGAUGUAUAUAAAAAUAUUAUUUUCUAAAUAGGUCAAGUCUAACACUAAAAGAUCGAUUUCCUUCGUGGAUCAUAAGGUUGUAAGAGACAAUAGAUCUUCCAUUAAUCGUUAAGAGAAACAUGUCUUUAUCUACUUUGAGGUAUGAUAUAAGCUCCUUGUGUAGUAGCCAUGGUGAGAUAAAAGAAGUAAUCCUAUGAAGUGAUGUCCCUCUACCAGUUAGUGAGAGAAUGUAUUAUUGAAUAUCCAACUAUGUCAUGAUGUUAUUGAUGAUGAUUAUGCAUGCAUGUACUAAUUUUUAUGUAUUAUUUUACAUAAGAGAAUGUGAUAAUUAAAGGAGAAUAUUACUCUUUUCGAGAGUGAUGUGGUUUCUCCUUCAUUAUUUGGGAGUAUGCAUCCAUCAAAGUCCUGUUCAUAUGGCUCAUGUAUUUAUGAACAACAGUAUAAGGAGUAUGCUGCAUGAGUUCUUAUAAUCUGCACAUAAUAAAUACUUGACUAUUAAUAUACAUUUGCACUCCUACUUGUUGGUAUCUUCCUAUUCCAUAAGAAGUCUUUCUUCGUUGAUCCCCAUUUGUUUGUUGCAGGAUUGUUACAGAGGAUACAGCACACCAGUGACAAAAGCAGUCCAUCAAUAGCUUACCCAAGUGGAAUUAGCUUCAAAAGAUCAGGAUCAUGAACUGAGGUCAUUCUCAAAUCUAUGAGUAGCUUACACAUGAAACCAACCUUCCAAAUUAGCAGUAUCUCAAUAAAACCUUGAAUAAAAGUUGAGAGACAGCAUUCCAUGAAGACGAAGGAUACACUUCUUAACAUCUCAACUCCUUCUUCGGCCAUAGCUUUACUCCACAGAUUAAGUCCCAAUUGGUAGCCAGUAGACUAUUUAUUACAAGCCCAUCGGUAGCCAAUUGAGAACAGUAGAAAGAAACUGUGAACAUAAUAUAAGUAAAAAUUCAAGAGACGAAAGCAUACUUACCAACCAUACUUUAACUCAGCUAAUUGAUAUCAUUUUGAACAAAGAGAUUGCUGACUAAUUUUUUAUGAGGUGUAACUUCCCUCCCUCCAUAUAUGCAACUAUUAGGAAAAGAGAACAGAGACAAAAGUCCAGUUUGUGUGGUUUAUUUGCAGAUGUAGCUGCAGAUUUCAUAAACUUAAGCCCCAGACAAAGAUGAGAAUUCAUGCUAUUCAUUCAGCACCGUUCCAUGCAACUGAAAUAGCUCCAGAUUUUACAAAGAUAUCGACCGGAUGCUGUCUAACGGGCCACAAGGAGUCUCAAGCUUCCUGGACUUCAAUAUUUAUAGAAAAAUAAUGAAUUGGGAAAAAUAAUUAAUACGACACCCAAUUGAAUUGUUCAGCAGAGAAGUUUCUGUUUUGAGGCGGAAAGAAAGCAAAGAAUGAAUAAAACCAUAUUGUCAACUUAAGUAGUCCUGAAAUAUUUAUGAAUGUCCAUCGAGGUUGCAUGCCUUUGCUGCUUCCUUUACUUUCACUUCUCUUGCAACUUGUAAUGAAUUUUUUGCUUCUGAAUAUACACUCUGAUAGUUCAGCAACAAGUUUAAAUACCAAAACAUCCUACAGCUCCUAUUCUAAUUAUUUAAUCAUUUUUCUCUUUUUUCACCUUUUUUAUCUCAAGUAUCAAUAUCCUCUUAUCUUCAGUUUAUACUGAACACUAUAAAGAUCAAGCCUACUUGUAGUUGUUUCACGCUGACAAUUGUUCUGCAAGCCACUGUUCGAUAUCCUUUUUGCCUUCUGCAAAAUAAAAUAAUAAAUAUGACUUCAUAUAAUAAACAUUUAAAUCAAAUUACAUUUUAAAAGUAUAAUUCAUCUUCCCAAAGAACAAUAUACAUGUUUCCAAUA